CCCUUAGAUGUUCGGGGCCGCACGCGCGCUACACUGAAGGAAUCAGCACGUCUUUCUCCUUGUCCGAAAGGACUGGGUAACCCGCUGAACCUCCUUCGUGCUAGGGAUUGGGGCUUGUAAUUCUUCCCCAUGAACGCGGAAUUCCCAGUAAGCGCGAGUCAUAAGCUCGCGUUGAUUACGUCCCUGCCCUUUGUACACACCGCCCGUCGCUACUACCGAUUGGAUGGUUUAGUGAGAUCCUCGGAUUGGUCCCGGCGCGGCCUCUGGUCGUGCCGGAGUGCCGAAAAGAAUGUCGAACUUGAUCAUCUAGAGGAAGUAAAAGUCGUAACA
This 330-nucleotide ribosomal RNA is filed under the name uncultured eukaryote. RNAcentral's name for it is "partial 18S ribosomal RNA". It matches the Rfam family "Eukaryotic small subunit ribosomal RNA", at positions 1470 to 1796 of the family's 1831-position model. The record is from RNAcentral.